UUUUUUUUUUGUNUUUUUUUUUUUUUUUUUUUUUUUUUUUUUUGGCUGUGCAAGUUCCCAGGCCAGGAAUCGAACCCAUGCCAAAGUAGCCACCACAGUCACUGUAGUGACAAUGCUGGAUACUUAAACUUCUGAGCCACCAGGUAACUCUGACACAGAGCUCUUGUUAUUACACUCAACAUGUAUGGGCAUCCAAGCUCAGAGAAGAGAGGUGUGGCCAAGAUGAAGGAGACUUAUCCCCUAUAAGCACCAAAAUUACGACUAUUAACAGAGAAACUAUUGAUGAGAAAAACCAGAAGACUGGUGGGAAAGAUCUUCCACAACUCCACAAAGAUAUAAUGAAGGAACCAAACCAGACAGGUAAGAAAGGCAAAGACAAAGUAUAGUCAAAACCCAUACCUCUAGGUCGGUGACACAUGAAUGGGAGGAUAAUGCUGUUACAGACAUUCUUCUCCAGAAGUGAGGGGUCCGAGUUCCAUGUUGGGAUCCCCAGCCUGAGGGUCCUGCACUGGGAAGACAAGCUCCCAGAACAUAUAGCUUUGAUGGCCAGUGGAGCUUGCAUACAGGAGAGCUAGAGGGCUGUAUAAAACAGAGACUCCAUUCUCAAAGGACUCACAUAAAAAUUGCAUGCACUCAGAGUCCUGGUGCAGAGACAGUAAUUUGAAAGGAUCCCUGGGUCAUACUCAUUGAUCUUAGAGAGGCAGGAGGUAACUGGGAUUUCCCCUGGGGACAUAGAUGCUGGUGGCAGACAUUCUUAGGAGCUCAUCCUACCCUAAGGACACUGGUAUAGCAAGUGCCAUUCUGGAGUCCUCUGCCUAGCCUAUUACUGCGGGGGGCUUACCCACCAACCUGCAGGCCCAGGAUCUAGCCCCAUCCCACUAGCCCAGGUCCCCAGUUUCCUGCAGCCAGCUGCCCUGGAACUCAGCCCUACCUAUAAAUGGACUAGCAGCUUCCACAAGAGGAAGGCCUGACAGAAAACUGGGGUGAGGAUCAGCCCAAUCUACCAGUGUGUCCACAGUAGUUGGCUACCCCACAACAAAAUGGUCUACAGAGGACACAUGGGGCCACACCUAGAACAUAUAUUUCCAGCGGCCAGAGAGGUGUGUGCUUUUGAGCCCAUUAGUUGUCUCCUAAAUAAGCCUGCUUCUCCAAGAUCAGAAAAUGUAACUGAAAUACCUAAUAAAUAGAGACAAAACAGAUAAUUAGACAGAAUGAGGUGACUGAGGAAUACGUUCCAAGUAAAGGAACAAGCUAAAACCUCAGAAGAAGAGCUAAGUGAAGUAGAGUUAAGCAAUUUACCCCAAAAAGAGUUCAAGGUAAUGUUGAUAAAGGUGCUCUAUGAAUUUGAGAGAAGAAUGGAUGAACACUGUGAGAAUUUUAGCAAACAUAAACAAGAACCAAACAGAGCUGAAAGAUAUAAUACUUGAAUAAGGUCGUCCUUCCUGGCCUGAGUUGUCUUUCGCAUCCACACGUGUCCUCCGCAGCCCAAAUGCUGCAACUGCAGCGCUGCCUGCCCCGUGCCCUGAGCACCGGUAUCGCUGGCCUCUGGAUCGCCAUGCCCUCCCAGCCGCUUCCCGGCUGCUGCAGCCUCCGCCCCGUCCCUUCGCCUGGCCCUUUGUGCACGGAGUUAGUGCAGCCGCCCAGCUCCCUGCGGCCUCGGGGGCCCUGCGCCUGUGGCUGUUGCUGUGGCUGUGGCUGCGGCUGCAGGCGGGCUGCACACCGAAGGGGACAAGGCUUUUGUUGAAUUCCUUGGUGAUGAGAUUAAGGAAGAGAAGAAGAUAUAGAAGCCUAAGUCUCUCCCCAAGAUGUCUGGAGGUUGGCAACUGGAAGUGAAUGGGACAGAAGCCAAAUUAGUGAGGAAAGUUGCUGGAGAAAAGCACCUUAAGCAUUAACAAUAGCAUCCCACCCCUCUAUGGGGAGGAGGAGGAGCCCUCGGAAGUUCAGAAAGUUGAAGAACAGGAGCCUGAACUGACGUCCACUCCCAGCUUCACGGUUGAAGUGAUAAAGGAUGGUAGCAAGAAGGCCCUUGUGCUGGACAGUCACUAUCCAGAAGAUGAGAUUGGACAAGAAGACAAGGUGCAGAGUGACAUUUUCUCUAUCAAGGAAGUGAGCUUUCAAUCCACAGAUGAUUCUGACUGGAAGGACACAAUUACACACUCAGCACAGACUUGCUGUACUGGGGCUUCUAUGACCACCUAAUGGAUUUCCUUGUGGACAACACUUUUGCUGACGAGUUGGUGGAGCUCAGCACAGCCCUGGAGCAUCAGGAGUACAUUACUUUUCUCAAGGACCGCAGAGCUUUCAUCAAAAGCCAGUAGGCAGACAAGGCGCUAGACACCUUGACUUUGUGGCAGGCUUUAGCUGGUGAACAAAAACCUACUCUGAAGCCAGACCCACGUGCUUUGAAAUGGUAUUCAUCCCACUAUCAUGGAAAAUAAAUUCCAUUUUAACUUAUUUCUGUUGCCUCAUAUUUGCCAUUCAUUUAUUCUCUACAAAUGUGUUAUUUCUAGAUUUUUGUAUUAACAUGAUGAUGGACAAUAAAACCUCAAAGGUGGUUUCUAUAAAAUAAAUAAAUAAAUGAAUAAAAAAUACAUCAUAAGGAAUCAGUAAUGGAUUAGAUGAUACAGAAGUAUGGAUCAGCAAACUGGAAGACUGCAUUUUUGUUUUGUUUGGGUAAUACAACUUCAGAAGUUCUCCUCCAGAAGUGAGAGGUCUGAGUCCCACAUUAGGUUCCCCAGCCUAGGGGUCCUGCACUGGGAAAUCACUGAAGCAGAACAGAAAGAACAAGAAAUGGAUAAAUUCCUAGAAAUGUAAAGUCUCCCAAGACUGAAUAGGGAAGAAAUAGAAAAUAUGGACAGAAAUAUGAUUAUCAGUAAUGAAAAUGGAUCAGUAAGCAAAAAACUCCUAACAGACAGAUUCACAGGUGAAUUCUAUUAAACAUCUAGAGACGAGUUAACACCAAUCCUUGUGAAAGUCUUACAAAAAUAUUGAAGAAGAAGAAAUGCUUCUGAACUCAUUUCAUGAGGCCAGCAUGACCCUGAUAUCCAAACCAAAGAUACCACACACAAAAAAGAAAGAAAAUUACAGGCCAAUAACUCUGAUGAACCUAAAUGUAAAAAUCCUCAACAAGAUGGCAAGCAAACUGAAUUUAACAAUACAUUGAAAGGAUUACACAAUGUUAUCAAGUGAGUUUUCUCCCAGGGAUGCAAGGAUGAUUCAGUAUUCACCAGUCAAUCAAUGUGUUACUCCACAUUACCAAAACAAAAGACAAAAGUCCCAUGAUCAUCUCAAUAGAUGCAGAAAUAGUUUUAACAAAAUUGAAUAUCCAUUCUUUAUUAAAAAAAUCUCUCAACAAAACAGGUGUAAAGGGAAUAUAUCUCGACAUUAUAAAGGCUGCUUAUGACAAACCCACAGCUAACAUACUCAAAAGUGAAAAUUUAAAAGCAUUGCCUCUUGCCAUUUGCAGCAACAUGGAUGAAACUAGAAACUCUCAUACUAAGUGAAGUGAGUCAGAAAAAGAAUGACAAAUACCGUAUGUUAUCACCCAUAUCUGGAAUUUAAUAUGUAGAACAAAUGAAUCUAUCUACAGAAAAGAAAAAAACUCAUGGACAUGGAGAACAGACUUGUGGUUGCCAAGGGGGAGGGGGAGGGAGUGAGAUAGACUGGGAGUUUUGGGUUAGUAGAUGCAAACUAUUGCAUUUGGAGUGGAUAAGAAAUGAGGUCCUGCUGUAUAGUACAGGAAACUAUAUCCAAUCCCUUGUUAAGAAACAUGAUGGAGGAUAAUGUGAGAAUAAUAAUGUAUAUAUAUCUACAACUGGGUCACUGCUGUACAGCAGGAACAUUGUAAAUCAACUAUAAUAAAAUUUUUUAAAAAGUGAAAAUAAAAAAAUAAAUAAAAGCAUUGCCUCUAGGAUCAAGAACAAGACAAGGAUGUCCAUUCUGGCCACUCGUCUUCGAUAUAGUAUUGGAAGUCCUAGUACAGCAAUCGGACAAGAAAAAUAAAUAAAUGGAAUCCAUAUUGGAAGGGAAGAAGUAAAACUGUCACUAUUUGCAGGUGACAUGAUACUAAUAUAGAAAACCUGAGAGACUCUGUCAAAGAUCUAUUGGAACUAAUAAAUGAAUUCAGUAACUUGCAGGAUAUGAGAUUAAUAUACAGAAAUCUGUUAAUUUCUGUAUGUUAACAAUGACCUACCAGAUGAAGAAGUUAAGAAAAAAAUCCCAUUUACAAUUGUAUCAAAAAGAAUAAAAUUCCAAGGAAUAAAUCUAGUCAAGGAGUUAAGCAUCUUGUACUUAGAAAGCUAUGCCCACUGAUGAAAGAAAUUGAAGAGGACACAAACAAAAAGAGAGGUAUUUUUGUGCUCAUUGAUUGGAAGAAAUAAUAUUGUUAAAAUGACCAUACUCCUUAAGGCAAUCUACAGAGUCAAUGCAAUCCUUAUCAAAAUAUCAAUGGCAUUUUUACAGAACUAGAACAAAUAAUUCUAAAAUUUGUAUGGAAAUACAAAAGGCCUCGAAUAGCCAAAAUAAUCUUGAAAAAGAAGAACAAAGCUGGAGGCAUCAUGUUCCCUGAUUUCAAACUAUACUGCAAAGCUACAGUAAUCAAAACAGUAUGGUACAGGCACAAAAAUAGAGACAUAGGUCAAUACAACAGAAUAGAGAGCACAGAAAUAAACCCACAUUUAUAUGGUCAAUUAAUAUAUGACAAAGGAAGCAAGAAUAUGUAUUUGUCAGAAUGGAUAUCAUUAAAAAGACAGAAAAUAAGGGUUGGUGAGGACAUGGAGAUAAGGUAACACUUGUGCACUCUUAGAGGAAUUGUAAAUUGGUGCAGCCACUAUGGAGGUCCCUCAAAAUUAAAAAAAUAGAAAUACCAUAUAAUUUAUCAAUUUCACUUCUGGGUAUUACUGAAGGAAAAUAAAAACAUUAUAUGAAUAGUUAUAUACACCGUAUAUUCAUUGCAGGAUAUUACAAUAGCCAAGAUAUAGAAGCAACCUACAUAUUUGUCAAUGGAUGAAUGGAUAAAGAAGAUAUGGUAUAUAUAAACAAUGAAAUAUUAUCCAGCCAUAGAAAAGAAGGAAAUCUUGCCAUUUGGACAAUAUGGUUGGACAAAGAGGGUAUUAAGCUAAGUGAAAUAAAUAAAAGACAAAUACCAUAUGAUUUCACUUAAAUGUGGAAUAUAAAAAACAUAACAAACGAACAAAUGUAGCAACACAAACAGACUUGUAUUUAUAGAGAAUACACAGGUCACUGUAGGAGGGCACAGCAAUGAGUGAAAUAGAAGAGGGAGAUUAAGAAC
RNAcentral lists this long non-coding RNA (5290 nucleotides) under Sus scrofa (pig). RNAcentral describes it as "lncRNA (ENSSSCG00060047221.1)". Lineage: Eukaryota; Metazoa; Chordata; Mammalia; Artiodactyla; Suidae. The record is from RNAcentral.